ACAGGUUAGUUUUACCCUACUGAUAACCGUUGAGCGUUGCGAUAGAAGUCCUGCUUAGUACGAGAGGAACCGCAGGUCCGGACAUUUGGUUCAUGUGCUUGAUCGAUAGGUCAGUGGCGCGAAGCUACCAUCCGUGGGAUUACGACUGAACGCCUCUAAGUCGGAAUCUCGUCUAGCCA
This 179-nucleotide ribosomal RNA is filed under the name Ostreococcus mediterraneus. RNAcentral describes it as "partial Eukaryotic large subunit ribosomal RNA". It matches the Rfam family "Eukaryotic large subunit ribosomal RNA", at positions 2978 to 3153 of the family's 3401-position model. The record is from RNAcentral. Lineage: Eukaryota; Viridiplantae; Chlorophyta; Mamiellophyceae; Mamiellales; Bathycoccaceae.